CCUACGGGUGGCAGCAGUGGGGAAUAUUGCGCAAUGGGCGAAAGCCUGACGCAGCGACGCCGCGUGAGGGAUGAAGGUCUUCGGAUCGUAAACCUCUGUCAGCAGGGAAGAAAGGUCACUGUGCUAAUCAGCAGUGAAUUGACGGUACCUGCAAAGGACGCACCGGCUAACUCCGUGCAAGCCGCCGCGGCAAUACGGAGGGUGCGGGCGUUAAUCGGAAUUACUGGGCGUAAAGCGCGCGUAGGCGGUAUGUCAAGUCAAGGGUGAAAUCCCCGCGCUCAACGUGGGAACUGCCUUUGAAACUGGCAAGCUGGAGUGUGUGAGAGGAUAGUGGAAUUCCAGGUGUAGGAGUGAAAUCCGUAGAUAUCUGGAGGAACAUCAGUGGCGAAGGCGACUAUCUGGCACAUAACUGACGCUGAGGAGCGAAAGCGUGGGUAGCAAACAGGAUUAGAUACCCUUGUAGUC
RNAcentral lists this ribosomal RNA (465 nucleotides) under uncultured bacterium. RNAcentral describes it as "partial 16S ribosomal RNA". It matches the Rfam family "Bacterial small subunit ribosomal RNA", at positions 338 to 795 of the family's 1533-position model. The record is from RNAcentral.